AAUAAAUAGAUUCAUACAUAAAAAUAUUAAGAUUCAGAUUAAAAGAUUCAUACAUAAUUAGAUUCAGAUUCAUACCUAAUCAAAAUACAUAAACCCAGAAACAUAGUUGUAUCUAAUCGUACCAGUUGUACCUAAACACAGAUUUAUACAUCAACAUCACACACCAGCAUACAAGCGAUACUCAUCAUUAGAGACCAAAAUAGGAGCCGAACUCUUCUCUUGCUCCAUCUCCUUUGCCUGCUCUUGCUCCAUCUUCUUCUUCUCAUGCUCCUACUCCUUCUCCUUCUUCUUCUUCUCCUUUUCCUUCUCCUUCUCCUUCUCCUUCUUCUUUUCCUUCUUCGCCUUUUCUUCAGUACAAGGAGCCUUGACAUGGAUUGAAGGCUUUAGAUUCAUUUUCGGUGCCAAGUUACAUUUCUUCUUAGCACAAGUAUAUAUACAAAAAUAGAGAGAAAUUCAAAUCGAAAAUUGGGACAAAGUGAAUUUUAGAAGAGUAGAGAGAGGGCAGAGAUCAAUGGCGCAAUUAAAUAAUAAUUCAUAAGCCAUGGUUUUCUUGAAAAAGAAAUUAACAAAGUCAAAAGAUGUAAUGCUGCAUAGUUUAAGCUAUCAGAGGUAUUCCAGUCACUGAAAAAUGAAGACUUUGCUCUAUAAAUCUGUUCCAUACACAGCUACAAAAUCAUAUCUCUACUUAAGCAAAAGCAAAAUCAAUACUGAUAGAAAAUAAGUAAUCUUUAAACAAGUCAAACUUAAAUGUCAUCCUUCUUCUUAGUAUCGAUCUAAACAUGUACGAAUCAAAACUAGUAAACUUUUAAAGGCAAAUCCAAACUUAAAGCGAAACUAUUGAAUCCAAAGAAGAAGAGAAAGCUAAACCUUGGGAUCGUUAUGUUUCUUUUGAUCAAGCUGAAUCAGAAUGUCGAAACACUCUGAGAACGGCUGCGUCUUCGGAGAGUGACGACGAAUCUCUAGCAAAUUGUUUUUUGGGUUUUGUGAAUUGUGAAAUACGAAUGUUUUUCCAAGAACGCUAAAUCGAAAACCCUAUCAAAGUGAAUUUUAGAGGAGUAGCGAGAGGCGAGAGAUGGAAAUGGCGGUUCGUCGUUUUGUUUUAGAGAAAAGGGGAAAA
Molecule: long non-coding RNA, 1117 nt
Filed under: Arabidopsis lyrata
Lineage: Eukaryota; Viridiplantae; Streptophyta; Magnoliopsida; Brassicales; Brassicaceae
Description: long non-coding RNA (ALYR_LNC001989)
Source: RNAcentral